AACCUUACCAGGUCUUGACAUCCGAUGCUAUUUCUAGAGAUAGAAAGUUACUUCGGUACAUCGGUGACAGGUGGUGCAUGGUUGUCGUCAGCUCGUGUCGUGAGAUGUUGGGUUAAGUCCCGCAACGAGCGCAACCCCUAUUGUUAGUUGCCAUCAUUCAGUUGGGCACUCUAGCGAGACUGCCGGUAAUAAACCGGAGGAAGGUGGGGAUGACGUCAAAUCAUCAUGCCCCUUAUGACCUGGGCUACACACGUGCUACAAUGGUUGGUACAACGAGUUGCGAGUCGGUGACGGCGAGCUAAUCUCUUAAAGCCAAUCUCAGUUCGGAUUGUAGGCUGCAACUCGCCUACAUGAAGUCGGAAUCGCUAGUAAUCGCGGAUCAGCACGCCGCGGUGAAUACGUUCCCGGGCCUU
RNAcentral lists this ribosomal RNA (413 nucleotides) under uncultured Streptococcus sp. RNAcentral's name for it is "bacterial SSU rRNA". It matches the Rfam family "Bacterial small subunit ribosomal RNA", at positions 967 to 1382 of the family's 1533-position model. Lineage: Bacteria; Bacillati; Bacillota; Bacilli; Lactobacillales; Streptococcaceae. The record is from RNAcentral.